AUACUCUGGUUUUUCUCUUCAGAUUAUAUAAAUCUUUCACCUUUUACUUAAGAUUUCCAUGGAGAGGAACAACUCUGAGUCUUUAACCAAUUUUUUGAGGCCUUGCAUUUGCAAGGCU
Molecule: small nuclear RNA, 118 nt
Organism: Otolemur garnettii (small-eared galago)
Lineage: Eukaryota; Metazoa; Chordata; Mammalia; Primates; Galagidae
Gene: U5
Rfam family: U5 spliceosomal RNA
About the family: U5 RNA is a component of both types of known spliceosome. The precise function of this molecule is unknown, though it is known that the 5' loop is required for splice site selection and p220 binding, and that both the 3' stem-loop and the Sm site are important for Sm protein binding and cap methylation.
Source: Ensembl